GAUGUCGGCUCAUCGCAUCCUGGGGCUGAAGAAGGUCCCAAGGGUUUGGCUGUUCGCCAAUUAAAGCGGUACGUGAGCUGGGUUUAGAACGUCGCGAGACAGUUCGGUCCCUAUCUGGUGUGGGCGCAGCAGGAUUGAGGGAAUCUGUCCUUAGUACGAGAGGACCGGGAUGGAUCCACCUCUAGUGUACGAGUUAUCCCGCCAGGGGUAGCGCUCGGUAGCUAAGUGGAGCAUGGAUAAACGCUGAAUGCAUCUAAGCGUGAAGCCAGACCCAAGAUUAGUCCUGACAGUGAGGCUCGUGGUAGACCACCACGUUGAUAGGGUGGAGAUGUAAGCGUUGAAAGACGCUCAGUUGACCACUACUAAUUAGCCCCUAGGCUUGACCGUAAAA
This 391-nucleotide ribosomal RNA is filed under the name Acidobacteriota bacterium. RNAcentral describes it as "Acidobacteria bacterium (soil metagenome) partial 23S ribosomal RNA". It matches the Rfam family "Bacterial large subunit ribosomal RNA", at positions 2528 to 2925 of the family's 2925-position model. Lineage: Bacteria; Pseudomonadati; Acidobacteriota. The record is from RNAcentral.